CGCGUAGGCGGCCGCGUGUGUCGCGUGUGAAAUCCCCGGGCUCAACCCGGGAAGUGCGCGCGAAACUGCGGGGCUCGAGCGGAGGAGGGGAGAGCGGAAUUCAUGGUGUAGCGGUGAAAUGCGUUGAUAUCAUGAGGAACACCGGUGGCGAAGGCGGCUCUCUGGAAUCCUGCUGACGCUGAGGCGCGAAAGUCGGGGGAGCAAACA
This 207-nucleotide ribosomal RNA is filed under the name uncultured bacterium. RNAcentral's name for it is "partial 16S ribosomal RNA". It matches the Rfam family "Bacterial small subunit ribosomal RNA", at positions 568 to 774 of the family's 1533-position model. The record is from RNAcentral.